ACCCGAGUAGCAGCGGGCCCGUGAAAUCUGCUGUGAAUCUGCCGGGACCACCCGGUAAGCCUGAAUACUCCCUGGUGACCGAUAGCGGACUAGUACCGUGAGGGAAAGGUGAAAAGUACCCCGGGAGGGGAGUGAAAUAGUACCUGAAACCGUGCGCUUACAAUCCGUCAGAGCCUUCGAUUUCGGUCGUGGGGUGAUGGCGUGCCUUUUGAAGAAUGAGCCUGCGAGUCAUCGGUGUGUGGCGAGGUUAACCCGUGUGGGGUAGCCGUAGCGAAAGCGAGUCCGAAUAGGGCGUUUGAGUCGCAUGUCAUGGACCCGAAGCGGAGUGAUCUACCCAUGGCCAGGGUGAAGCGACGGUAAGACGUCGUGGAGGCCCGAACCCACUUAGGUUGAAAACUGAGGGGAUGAGCUGUGGG
This 416-nucleotide ribosomal RNA is filed under the name Nocardia sp. BSTN01. Its description in RNAcentral is "partial 23S ribosomal RNA". It matches the Rfam family "Bacterial large subunit ribosomal RNA", at positions 406 to 815 of the family's 2925-position model. Lineage: Bacteria; Bacillati; Actinomycetota; Actinomycetes; Mycobacteriales; Nocardiaceae. The record is from RNAcentral.